Long non-coding RNA from Seriola aureovittata, 490 nucleotides. RefSeq lists it as uncharacterized. NCBI's taxonomy places the organism in Eukaryota, Metazoa, Chordata, Actinopteri, Carangiformes, Carangidae. The transcript has 3 exons. The record is from RefSeq and is a predicted model, not a curated record.
CCCAGGUGGAUGAUGUUGUACAAAGCUGUUAUCACCAUUCUCCAUAUUGCCACUAUCACUCCCACCAACGUGUUGAUGAGGAAGAGCAGGACGAUCCCGAAGCCCAGUAACAGGAAGGCGAUGUUUUCAUCAAUACCAGCGCGGACAAUAUGGAGAAUGGGGACCACCAUCACGACCAACAACAACGCCGUCUGAAACCAAGAGAAGUUACAACAUGACCCUACCACGCCCUCAUGACCUGCAGUAACCUCUGCUUUCCCUCCGUCCCCAUUCACCUGACGCCCCACACCCACCUGCUCACCUGUUUCCCAUUCCCCAAUCAGUCACAGUAUUUAAACCAGUCCAGUUACUCUGUUCUCAGUCCUGGUGCCUCAGCUGUCUGUUCCUGUCGGUUCUGUUGCUUUUGUGAUCUUAAUUACAGGUGAACUGUUUUCUGACCCAUCAACACCGCACUGAAUCAAAACCACUGACCAGGCCAUGUAAUAUUUAA